This 228-nucleotide ribosomal RNA is filed under the name uncultured bacterium. RNAcentral's name for it is "partial 16S ribosomal RNA". It matches the Rfam family "Bacterial small subunit ribosomal RNA", at positions 15 to 225 of the family's 1533-position model. The record is from RNAcentral.
GAUCUGGCUCAGGAUGAACGCUGGCGGCGUGCCUAACACAUGCAAGUCGAACGAAGCUUGACGGAUGAUUUCUUCGGAAUGAAACCAGAUAUGACUUAGUGGCGGACGGGUGAGUAACACGUGAGCAACCUGCCUUUCAGAGGGGGAUAACGGCUGGAAACGGUCGCUAAUACCGCAUGAUGUGUUCGGAUGGCAUCAUCUGAACAUCAAAGAUUUAUCGCUGAAAGA